AAAGCCCUGCUGUGUGCGUGAACGUCCUUGCCGGUUUUCACCCAGCAUCACAUUGAGGGGAGCCCGGCUCCGGGCAUGGCGCGAGGUCUCUGGGCGGGAGUUCCCGCCGGCGGAGAGAACGUAAAAUGUUCGGGAGGGCACCCACUUGGCCCUUACGGGUAAAACUCACGGGACGCACGGCAUGGCGGGGCUUUU
This 195-nucleotide non-coding RNA is filed under the name Armatimonadota bacterium. RNAcentral describes it as "6S RNA". It matches the Rfam family "6S / SsrS RNA". Rfam says of the family: E. coli 6S RNA was the first non coding RNA to be sequenced, but its function was unknown until recently. The record is from RNAcentral. Lineage: Bacteria; Bacillati; Armatimonadota.